Molecule: ribosomal RNA, 477 nt
Filed under: uncultured fungus
Lineage: Eukaryota; Fungi
Description: eukaryotic LSU rRNA
Rfam family: 5.8S ribosomal RNA (bases 63-216)
Source: RNAcentral
AUGUUUUACUACAAACGCUUCAGUUUAAGAAUGUUUUACGUGCGUAUAACGCAUUUAUAUACAACUUUCAGCAACGGAUCUCUUGGCUCUCGCAUCGAUGAAGAACGCAGCGAAAUGCGGUAAGUAAUGUGAAUUGCAGAAUUCAGUGAAUCAUCGAAUCUUUGAACGCACCUUGCGCUCCCUGGUAUUCCGGGGAGCAUGCCUGUUUGAGUGUCAUGGUAUUCUCAACCUUCAUAACUUUUGUUAUCGAAGGCUUGGACUUGGAGGUUGUGCUGGCUUCUAGUUAAGUCGGCUCCUCUUAAAUGUAUUAGCGUGAGUGUAACGGAUCGCUUCGGUGUGAUAAUUAUCUGCGCCGUGGUCGUGAAGUAACAUAAGCUUGCGCUUCUAACCGUCCUUCAGUUGGACAAUUACUUUGACAUCUGACCUCAAGUCAGGUAGGACUACCCGCUGAACUUAAGCAUAUCAAUAAGCGGAGGA